GUGAACGCUGGCGGUAGACCUAACACAUGCAAGUCGAACGGCAGCACAGUAAGAGCUUGCUCUUACGGGUGGCGAGUGGCGGACGGGUGAGGAAUACAUCGGAAUCUACUUUUUCGUGGGGGAUAACGUAGGGAAACUUACGCUAAUACCGCAUACGACCUACGGGUGAAAGCAGGGGAUCUUCGGACCUUGCACGAUUGAAUGAGCCGAUGUCGGAUUAGCUAGUUGGCGGGGUAAAGGCCCACCAAGGCGACGAUCCGUAGCUGGUCUGAGAGGAUGAUCAGCCACACUGGAACUGAGACACGGUCCAGACUCCUACGGGAGGCAGCAGUGGGGAAUAUUGGACAAUGGGCGCAAGCCUGAUCCAGCCAUACCGCGUGGGUGAAGAAGGCCUUCGGGUUGUAAAGCCCUUUUGUUGGGAAAGAAAAGCAGCAGGUUAAUACCCCGCUGUUCUGACGGUACCCAAAGAAUAAGCACCGGCUAACUUCGUG
RNAcentral lists this ribosomal RNA (491 nucleotides) under uncultured bacterium. Its description in RNAcentral is "partial 16S ribosomal RNA". It matches the Rfam family "Bacterial small subunit ribosomal RNA", at positions 29 to 507 of the family's 1533-position model. The record is from RNAcentral.